Hordeum vulgare subsp. vulgare (domesticated barley) is the source of this 1164-nucleotide long non-coding RNA. RefSeq lists it as uncharacterized. The transcript has 2 exons. NCBI's taxonomy places the organism in Eukaryota, Viridiplantae, Streptophyta, Magnoliopsida, Poales, Poaceae. The record is from RefSeq and is a predicted model, not a curated record.
CGAAAAAGCCCCUGAUAUUUUGUGUAUUCAACCGGCACUCCUGAUUUGAGUGGAAAAACGAUUCAGUUUUACAGCCCCCCUCCCCAUCGACACCCAUCCGUUGCACCGUCGCUUGCCGUUGGCGUGGACAGGAGCAAUGAAUGGGCGCAGGAGCUAAGGAAGUGGUGAGGCCGCGCGGACGAGGCGGCUGCUCUGGUGUGGAUCCGAUGAGGGGGCGGACCGAUCGAGGCGGAGGAGCACACUCCGGUUGGUGGUCCGGGCGGUGGAUCCGAAUCCCCUGUUGAGUAGGCUCUGCAUCAUCGCGGUUGUGUUCGCCUGCAAGACCUAUGAUCUCCGCCGGAUUUCACAGGCAAUUUAUUCCUCACAUAUGAAAUGCCGGCGACGGGCGAGGAGGCGAUGGGACGGUGUCUGCCCGGUGACGGCGCUUGGAGGGGACGGGCCGGAGACGGACUGGCGACAACGCGCUGAUGCGGAGAGGCCCGGGCGUGACGGGCAUGCCGAUGUGGCGACGGGGAUGGGGAUGGCCGGGGGGCGGCGCGGGAGGCUAGCGGGCAGGGGCGACGCGACGACGGGAUGGCCGUGCCGGAGCACGGCGAGGCCGGGGACGCAACAAGGGAAAGGGGAGGCCGGCAGGCUUCACGCGGUGGUGCGUUGCCGUGGCGUUGGUGUCCGAUUCAAAGUACAAACCGUGUCCGUCCUGGAUUGCUGCUAGAUGCUAUAAGAAGGACACCACCUCGGCUGAAAUCUGCAUCAGGUAAUUUGCCAUUGCCACGAAACUAUCUCUAUCGGGUAAAUACAUCCAAGGUCGGUUCCGAGUUCGUCGGAGAAAGAAGCGUCGACUUCGCCGGAGGUAGAAGAUCAUCCGCGGAGCACUCCAAUGCCACCUGCUUCGGCUACACGAGAGGUAUGUAUCACACCAACCGUGAGCCUGCCGGGUAUGUUCGUCACAUGUUUACUGCCUGCAAUAUGUUCGUCACAUGCUUCAGGAUGGUAGUGAAGCAUCUCCUGCCACAUCAUUUCCCUGAUCAUCUCUGAACUGACUCGGUUUAAUACUAUCUAGCUGCUAGGUGAAGUCAGCCCCUCGUUUGCUGUUAGGAUCAGUGCUGUAUCCUGUUAUGAAAGCAUUUUGUUCACUGGAUAAACUCUAUCAUCAGAUCUGGAACA